AAGGAUCAUUACAGAGUUCAUGCCCUCACGGGUAGAUCUCCCACCCUUUGAGUACCAUACCUUUGUUGCUUUGGCGGGCCGCCUCGGCUACCGGCUCCCGCUGGUAAGUGCCCGCCAGAGGACCCCAAAACUCUUAUGUAUCAGUGUUGUCCGAGUACUAUAUCAAUAGUUAAAACUUUCAACAACGGAUCUCUUGGUUCUGGCAUCGAUGAAGAACGCAGCGAAAUGCGAUAAGUAAUGUGAAUUGCAGAAUUCAGUGAAUCAUCGAAUCUUUGAACGCACAUUGCACCCCUUGGUAUUCCGAGGGGCAUGCCCGUUCGAGCGUCAUUAUACCCCUCAAGCCUGGCUUGGUGUUGGGGCCUGCUGUGACCGGCAGCCCUUAAAAUCAGUGGCGGUGUCCUCGGGCUCUGAGCGUAGUAAUACUUCUCGCUACAGGGUCCGGUGGGUGUCUGCCAGCAACCCCUCACUACCUAUGGUUGACCUCGGAUCGGGUAGGGAUACCCGCUGAACUUAA
Molecule: ribosomal RNA, 514 nt
Filed under: Woollsia mycorrhizal fungus VII
Lineage: Eukaryota; Fungi; Ascomycota
Description: eukaryotic LSU rRNA
Rfam family: 5.8S ribosomal RNA (bases 174-327)
Source: RNAcentral